UGGAAGGCUUGGAAGAGGAAGUGACGCUUGAGCUUUUAAGUAUAAGUAGAAUUUUAAGAUAUGUAAUUAAGGACGCGGAAAAGAAGUCAUUCCCGGCAAAAGAAAUAAUACGGCCGGCGCAGAGGCGGGAAAACAUGGACUGACUGCGAGAGAAAAGCCAGAGUUCCAGUUUGGCUGCACCAAAGGCUACUUUAAGCAUGAAAGAAUAAGCUCGUGGGAACCGCCUCCACCGCCCGGGACUCACCACCCUGAGUCUGAACCGCCCAACGCGGCCUCAACGUCGCGGAGCCGUCGCCAUCUUUCCCGUUUCCUGGUCGCGGAGAUGAACACCCCCCACCCCCCCGGCCGCGAGGCAAGCUGGGAAGGCGAGUUCCUGGAGCUGGGCGGCACAGGCCGACACUGAGGCCUGGAAACUACCAAUCCCAGAAUGCAUGACUUGAGCGCCGGCCCCAGGCUGCGGGGUCUGCCGGGCAAUGUGGUUUGCCAGACGUUAGCGUCCGGGAAGGAAGAGUUUUUCGCCAAUAGGCUUUCGGCAUUAGGUUCUCCCGCCGAGCACCCUUCUUGGAAUCGGCUGGUCUUCCUAGAAACUACGGUCUAUGACUGUCCUUGCCCGUGGCUUACAGUGGAGGAAUUUAAGGGCUUCCUGAGAUAUCUGUAGUACGUAAUUAUAGCUAACAACCGCAGUAACAAUAAAUACCAUUCGUGGAAAA
RNAcentral lists this long non-coding RNA (710 nucleotides) under Homo sapiens (human). RNAcentral describes it as "HSALNT0367994". The record is from RNAcentral. Lineage: Eukaryota; Metazoa; Chordata; Mammalia; Primates; Hominidae.